Molecule: long non-coding RNA, 906 nt
Organism: Carlito syrichta (Philippine tarsier)
Lineage: Eukaryota; Metazoa; Chordata; Mammalia; Primates; Tarsiidae
Exons: 2
Source: RefSeq, a predicted model, not a curated record
ACAUGGCUUCUCUUCUCUCCUGAGCUCCUGGAGGGUGGGAUGCGAGUUUGGCUUGUUCUUGUUGUGGAGAAGGUGGCAAGCCCCGGGCAUGCCCUGCUGUCUCCUGGUGGUUAUGCACACCCAGAAGGACACUAGGUGCACUCGAAUAAGUGUUGCCAGAAAUGGUCAGAUGUGAACACUUGGCGAGAGCCCGUCUCAGCUGUGAGAGGAGAGUGGAUGGCCAACUAGGAUAGGCGAAGAGGUAAUUACAGAGUACCUGAAACGUCUGUGUGCAGUGGAACCAGCAGAGCCAGAUGACUGGCAGAGCAAUGCAGCAGAAGAGAGUUGGAUGGAUACUUGGAAAACCCAGUCCCAGUCUCCUCUCAGCUCACCUUGCUUACCCAGUGGGUGACCUUGGGAAAAGAAGUCUCUGAUCCUGGCUCUUCAUAUUUGCAGAACAAAGAUGAUAUUACCUUCUUUAUAGAACUGUUCUACGGAGUAAGUGAAAUAAAUCACAAAGUACUCUUUGGACCUAGGGCAUAUUUAAUGGUUGCUGGUGUCCGUGCACAACUGACGGGCUUUGGUUUUGGGAAGUUAUGAAGGACACUUCUCUGCAAGACAGCAAACAGAGCAUCCACUUAUGCCGGUGUUUGGGAAGCUGGUGGAAGACAUCAUUGAGCAAUUAAUUAGCAAUAGUUUAAGAGAACCAAGUAGUUGGGAAGCGACCCAUAUGACUUUAAGAUCAAAUGAUGCCUUUCUAAUUUUACUACCCUCUUAAAUUGUGGGACAGCCUCCAAAUAUAAGGGAAUGACAGGUGUCAUCCUGCAUGAUGGCCAAGUCAUCAGUGCAACCUGAGUUGUUCGAAACCCCCAGUAUCAUCUAUUUGUUUUUGGCAUGGCAUGCAUGAUUACAUUCAUUAACUGGUAA